UUUUUUGCAUUCAUCAUCAAUUUAAUAUUGGCACCACAGAUCCAGAUCCACUGAAAGAACACAAGCGCCGAAACCCAGAAUCCAAAAUCGAAUCAAAGAAUAAAUUACCUAAACCUAAAGAUUGAAAACAGUAGAAGAGAAACCCUAACCCUAAACUUGAGGAUAUAUAUUUAACAGAAGAAGCAAAAACCCUAACCCUAGAAAAGGGUUUUUCGAGGAGAUAGAGAGAGAAGUGACAGGGCUCGAAGAAUGUAGAGCUUGGAAAUG
RNAcentral lists this unclassified non-coding RNA (267 nucleotides) under Hevea brasiliensis (rubber tree). Lineage: Eukaryota; Viridiplantae; Streptophyta; Magnoliopsida; Malpighiales; Euphorbiaceae. The record is from RNAcentral.